AACUCUGUUGCGCGCAACUUGUUUGAUGGUCUGCGGAUUUUAGAAAAGAACCGCAAUAACAUAAUAACCAGCUCUGAAACAAUAUAAAAUAACUUCCGUUAACUUUUUAGGGAUCAAAACGGUGGUUCCGUUCAGUCUUCGACGAUAUCGACAGUGCUCUCCCACCGAAAGAGAGUCAAAUCAAACUCGACGAAACAUCAGUGACUAAAAAAAGAAAUUAUCUAAUUCUAUAAACAAAACUUCACCAAUCUCUACUAGCGGGAUGCAUUCCAAUAGCGUAAAUACCAACAAUGGCAUCUUCAAAGCGAUAGAUUGGUCCGUUGAUUUGGCUCCGGAAACAGUUGCUGAUUUGGUCAUUCAUCAAAAGCCGUGAAGACGAUAGCCGCCGCCCGCCGGUCUUGGUUACCAGGUAGCGAAGUGGACCACACCGGUCGAUGCGGAACUAUAUUUUCGGGAUGAUUUCGAUUUUGAAGGUGCUCCUGGUGAACAGCUAACUUUUCGAGAAAAUCAAAGACAACAGUUUGAUAAAUUUCUUUACAAAAUAUCCCGCUAUUGUUCGGCAUUUAAAACAGAAAUCGAGCGCAAGCUGUUGUUAGUGAAAGAUUUACGAAAAUAUUCCUGCAGGAUCCUGAAGCAUUCCGCAGUUUCUUGGAGGCUUUCCAAGAUGCAGAGCCUGACCGUUGGUUUUUAUAGCAACCGAUACAUCCAGCAAAAAUUUUGGAUAUCGUAUACAUGUGUAUACAUAUACACCUUUUUCCGCCUGCAGUAAUGCUUGAAUUUAAAAUUUAUCACAUAACCGGGUGCAACCAUCUUCAAAGGCAGAAGUAAGAAAAAAGAGCUUAAAUUAAAGUCAGUAAGAUGUAAUGAAAGUUAAACACUGAUGCAUGCGCUAGGACGAGUUUUUAAUUCAAAAUUUGAGCAAACGAGCGGAGGAACAGCCGCGGAAAAGUUCCACCAUUUGCGGAGGACCUACCCGAAUGUUUUAUUUCUCAGCCGGGAUCGAUGAUUCCAUUGCUACCUUCUAAAUACGUCGUUCGAUUUACCGAUAUCGCAAACAUCACCGGAGCGGCGGACGCGCUUAGUCUAGCGGAUAAGAUUAUGAGUGAGUACCGUGAAGAUUCAAUGGCCAACCAUGGGUUAAAUAUCGUCAUACGAGGUAUGAUGGUAUCCAAUCGAAAAACCGCCGGCGGUUGACACCAGAUUCAAAAGGAGAAGACCUUCAACAAACCUAGUUUAUUACCGAGCACAAACAUUAUCUGAACAUAAUUGAGGAGACAAAAGGAUGGACAAUAAAAUGUACAUAAUACACAACAUAUAAUCAUUUUGAGUCGUUCCUAUUGUGAUUUAGAUCAUACUGAUUGAAUGAUUCGUACAGUAUCAUAACUGCCAAUACAGUAAAAUAUUUAGUUCGACAACGUAAGUUUCAAUUGCUGAAAUCGAGAUCCAUUUAUGUUUAAAACGGCCCGCCAAAUCAGGUGUUCUAAACUAUUAUUAUUUCAAAUUCAACAAACCAGCGCCAACGUUUACGAUAGUUUCGUAGUUUUACUACUCACUACCCUGAUUUUCAGCAGCAUUUACUAUAAAAAAUCGUAAGAACAAAUCAAAGCAAACAGCGUAAAGAAGUUGGGCUGCGAUUAUUUUUUCGAAAACUACUGGAAAAAAAGUUGCUAAGUAGCCGAGAAGUAACAAUGUUCGGGCUUUUUUCAUUCCAUUUUUUCUUCCCGAAGAGGUUCCACCUAUUCCUGUUUUGUUAGAAAUUAGUGAAGAACCACCUUCAAUAACUCAUCGCCAGCGUUUGAACCGCAAGGUAGCUAUUUCGUGUGCGAUAUUACGAUCGUAAUAAUUCCAAAAAUUCAGUAGGACCUCAAUCCGGAGACUCAAACAUACAGUGAAUACGCGAGUGUCAAGUAUGUAUAUGAAGAGUGUCAGUAGUUUUACUACUCACUACCCUGAUAUUCAGCAGCAUUUACUAUAAAAAAUCGUAAGAACAAAUCAAAGCAAACAGCGUAAAGAAGUUGGGCUGCGAUUAUUUUUUCGAAAACUACAGGAAAAAAAGUUGCUAAGUAGCCGAGAAGUAACAAUUCUCGGGCUUUUUCAUGCCAUUUUUUCUUUCCGAAGAGGUUCCACCUAUUCCUGUUUUGUUAGAAAUUAGUGAAGAACCACCUUCAAUAACUCAUCGCCAGCGUUUGAACCGCAAGGUAGCUAUUUCGUGUGCGAUAUUACGAUCGUAAUAAUUCCAAAAAUUCAGUCAGACCUCAAUCCGGAGACUCAAACAUACAGUGAAUACGCGAGUGUCAACUAGCCGAUGUAAGCUGUUAGAUGCUCCGGAAAUCGACCGACACAUACGCUACCGUCCCAAGCAUAACUGUGUCAGCGUCCAGAAGGUUUUCGUGGAACAUGGGAUGAAAGCGGCCACCCGUCGAAAUAAAAGAUGACUGAAGUUGGAGCUGGAUCGCGCGAAUUGGGGAAUUGGGAUUACUUGAAACAUCCUCAACUGAUGGUACUUUUGUCGGAGACGCAAGCGAACCAGAGUUUUAUGAACGAUGAAGUUCACCGGAUCAUGUUGGUUGGUACCCAGUGUCAUGAAUGUCAUGAAGGCUAUGUUGAACGGAAACGGUAAUGAAUCCCAUUCCAAUUUCGAUUGUGCUUUCACAAAUGUUCUUCAACCAUUACCCGGAUGAAGUACCCCCUACUUUAGCGGACAAAUGCUUGAAUCUCCUAGAACUAGCGAACAGACUGUGCUUGCCGCGAUUGCUGAAUUUGGCUGAAUGUCACGUAAUAGAAGAUCUCACAACGAUCGCUGGAUCGCGCGAAUUGGGUAAGCCAAGUGAUAUGCAUAAAGUCCGUCGACUCGUCGAACCAUUUACUGCGGAUCAAAGCAAGCCUAUGUUUUAUUCGUGAUGAAAUGAAAAUUUGUGACAGUCAUGUGAAUGUGUUUCUCAGGAGUUCUUGGAGCUGCCUCAAAUGAUGGUACUUUUUUGGAGACGCAAGCGAACCAGAAUGUUAAGAACUAUGAAGCUCACGGGUCAUGUUGGUAUCGCGAUAUGAUUUCAUGAAGGCUCUGUUAAACGGGAACCUCAAUGAAUCCCAUGUCAAUUUGAUUGUGCUUCCACAACCACAAAUGUUGAUCGAUCUUUACACGAAUGAAGUACAACCUUUUUCAGCAGACAAAUGCUUGAACAUUCUAGCGAAUAGACUGUGCUUACAACGAUUGCUAAAUUUGACCGAAUGUCAUGUAAUAGAAGAUCUUACGAGGAUGUCGCAGAAUUAAACCAACGAAGCAGUUACUACUAGGUUAUUUAAGGCAGUAAAAUCAAGGCUCCAUAAUGCACAUCAAUUAGAAUCUGUCUGAAUUCUAACAGAAUCUGUAAACCGUCUCCACGGAGUCUAAGCUUACAUGCGGAUACCUGAAACUACAUUUGAGAGCAUCGAUGGGUUCCAGAGCGUUAUAGAAUUAGCUCAAUCGCGAACUGAAUAAUGGGAAGAAAGACGUCAGCAGAUGAUAAUGGACGGCUAUGCUUUGCCGAAGAUAACAGAUAAACAAAGUGAAUAAAAAAGUAUAAGUGUAUAAAAUUGACGACAAUGGAAAAAAAUUAUGAUUUAGUCAAACAUGGAAUAAAACGGCUAAAAACAAAAAGAUUUUUCUUCAUCCAAACAGAAAUCGCCAAAGGUAAGAGACAGUCCCAAAAUUUAGUAGUUAGCUAAUAAGAGCUUUCGAAAAUUAUUUAAAGUGUGAAUCACUAAACCACUCAAAAGUAUGCAAAUGUGGGGCUAAUGGCACAGGAUUCU
This is a long non-coding RNA of Wyeomyia smithii (pitcher-plant mosquito), 3789 nucleotides long. RefSeq lists it as uncharacterized. Lineage: Eukaryota; Metazoa; Arthropoda; Insecta; Diptera; Culicidae. The record is from RefSeq and is a predicted model, not a curated record. The transcript is spliced from 12 exons.